This is a long non-coding RNA of Apis mellifera (honey bee), 254 nucleotides long. RefSeq lists it as uncharacterized. The record is from RefSeq and is a predicted model, not a curated record. Lineage: Eukaryota; Metazoa; Arthropoda; Insecta; Hymenoptera; Apidae. The transcript is spliced from 2 exons.
AAGUUUGAGAAAGAGGGCGACUUCCGUUUCCGUCGAUGAUUCCCCCACUGUUAUUGCUAAGUCUCUCGCCUUCCAUUGAUGUCCUUCGAUCGUCUCUCAUCUGUAACACAAAUAAAAAUUACAUUGAAAUCCGAGCAGAGAUGCAUUACACAUACACAUUACUAGAUCUCUAAACCACGGUUAUAUUUAUAAAUCCCAAAUCAAGGAGAGUAUGCGCGCAAGCCACACCUGUUUAUUCUGCUCUUUCAAAAAAA